This is a long non-coding RNA of Mus musculus (house mouse), 496 nucleotides long. RefSeq annotates it as predicted gene, 35625. NCBI's taxonomy places the organism in Eukaryota, Metazoa, Chordata, Mammalia, Rodentia, Muridae. The record is from RefSeq and is marked validated. The transcript has 3 exons.
AGAAUUCUAACCUCCAGAUUCUAACUGAAGAAGUCCCAAAACCAGCCUGAGAGGUAUAUCAGGCCUCCUGCUACUGCUGCUCCUGGGAUCUGUACGCUUCCUUGUCAAUUCUGUGAUGCUUCAGGACCACGGCUCUUAGACUUCAAUCAAAUGGGCUAGCUCUCCAAAAAUCCAGAAUAAAUGACAGCGGUAAUGACAUGUGUGACUCAAAACGGAGCUCUAAGAUGGGAAACAGCAGCCCCAGAAUUUUGAAACAAAUCGGCAAAAUAAAUAUCUAUUUUCAGCUAAAGGGAAAAUAAACAGCAGCUUGGAACAUGGCAAGAAGCUCAUUCCCACCCCACAGAGGCGCAGAGGGGGAAGCCCGGGAGGCAAGGUCUCAACAGAAGACUUUUUAAAACCACCUGAUCCUCUUAUUUCGUACUAUAAAACAUAAUGGAGAUUUCAUCAAGUUGGCAGGAAAUCGUGAGCUAAUAAAAGAGCCUUGUUACAAAGAUAA